This 505-nucleotide ribosomal RNA is filed under the name uncultured bacterium. RNAcentral describes it as "partial 16S ribosomal RNA". It matches the Rfam family "Bacterial small subunit ribosomal RNA", at positions 28 to 507 of the family's 1533-position model. The record is from RNAcentral.
GACGAACGCUGGCGGCGUGCCUAAUACAUGCAAGUGGGACGCAAGGAAACACACUGUGCUUGCACACCGUGUUUUCUUGAGUCGCGAACGGGUGAGUAACGCGUAGGUAACCUGCCUAUUAGCGGGGGAUAACUAUUGGAAACGAUAGCUAAUACCGCAUAAUAUUAAUUAUUGCAUGAUAAUUGAUUGAAAGAUGCAAGCGCAUCACUAGUAGAUGGACCUGCGUUGUAUUAGCUAGUUGGUAAGGUAAGAGCUUACCAAGGCGACGAUACAUAGCCGACCUGAGAGGGUGAUCGGACACACUGGGACUGAGACACGGCCCAGACUCCUACGGGAGGCAGCAGUAGGGAAUCUUCGGCAAUGGACGAAAGUCUGACCGAGCAACGCCGCGUGAGUGAAGAAGGUUUUCGGAUCGUAAAGCUCUGUUGUAAGUCAAGAACGUGUGUGAGAGUGGAAAGUUCACACAGUGACGGUAGCUUACCAGAAAGGGACGGCUAACUACGUG